Molecule: non-coding RNA, 20 nt
Filed under: Arabidopsis thaliana (thale cress)
Lineage: Eukaryota; Viridiplantae; Streptophyta; Magnoliopsida; Brassicales; Brassicaceae
Source: RNAcentral
CGACCCUUGCUUGAUGAUCG